Long non-coding RNA from Gallus gallus (chicken), 482 nucleotides. NCBI's taxonomy places the organism in Eukaryota, Metazoa, Chordata, Aves, Galliformes, Phasianidae. The record is from Ensembl.
UUUUCCUUUCAAAUGAGGCCAGCUCCUCAAGCCAUUAGGCUGAGUUGCAUCAGCUGUGGCUCUGGCUUGGGGAAAUUAAAGGUGAGCACCUGUGCCAGCUCAGCAACACCGCAGUGCAUGAGCACGUAGAAGAAGUUAAGCUGCUGGGGAGCGAACAAGGCUGGAGCCUCAGUGAUGCUGGUGGAUCAGAUAACUGCUGAAAGUUUUAAACAAACCAGAGCUCUGGCAGGACCUUGCUAGACACUUCAUCCAAACAUAUCAUCUUACAACUCUGAUAAAAGGAUCUGCUGGAUUUUCUUUUGGCUGAGAUAAGACAUUUGUAUUCAUUGAAACCAAUGUUAAUGCUGCUGCUGUGCCCCUGUUAGCUCAGUCCUUUACUGUGUCUUUGGAGUGCGGAUGAUUCCCCGACUGCACAGGACAGACAACUGCACAAGGGCUGCUGACUUCCGACCAGAUAAGGUCCCAACAGCUUGAGCACAGGA